RNAcentral lists this ribosomal RNA (425 nucleotides) under uncultured bacterium. RNAcentral's name for it is "bacterial SSU rRNA". It matches the Rfam family "Bacterial small subunit ribosomal RNA", at positions 354 to 796 of the family's 1533-position model. The record is from RNAcentral.
GUGGGGAAUCUUAGACAAUGGGGGCAACCCUGAUCUAGCCAUGCCGCGUGAGUGAUGAAGGCCUUAGGGUCGUAAAGCUCUUUCGCUGGGGAAGAUAAUGACGGUACCCAGUAAAGAAACCCCGGCUAACUCCGUGCCAGCAGCCGCGGUAAUACGGAGGGGGUUAGCGUUGUUCGGAAUUACUGGGCGUAAAGCGCGCGUAGGCGGAUUGGAAAGUUGGGGGUGAAAUCCCGGGGCUCAACCCUGGAAUGGCCUUCAAAACUCCCAGUCUUGAGGUCGAGAGAGGUGAGUGGAAUUCCGAGUGUAGAGGUGAAAUUCGUAGAUAUUCGGAGGAACACCAGUGGCGAAGGCGGCUCACUGGUCCGGUACUGACGCUGAGGUGCGAAAGCGUGGGGAGCAAACAGGAUUAGAUACCCUUGUAGUCC